UUGGAGGGCAAGUCUGGUGCCAGCAGCCGCGGUAAUUCCAACUCCAAUAGCGUAUAUUAAAGUUGUUGCAGUUAAAAAGCUCGUAGUUGAAUUUCGGGAUCAAUUUAUUGGUCGUGCUAUUGUACGUACUGGUAUUAUUGAUUCCUACCUUCUGACGAACCAUGAUGUCAUUAAUUUGGUGUCUUGGGGAAUCAGGACUGUUACUUUGAAAAAAUUAGAGUGUUUAAAGCAGGCUCACGCUUGAAUACAUUAGCAUGGAAUAACGAAAUAGGACGUUUGAUUCUAUUUUGUUGGUUUCUAGGAUCGACGUAAUGAUUAAUAGGGAUAGUCGGGGGCAUUAGUAUUCAAUUGUCAGAGGUGAAAUUCUUGGAUUUAUUGAAGACUAACUACUGCGAAAGCAUUUGCCAAGGAUGUUUUCAUUAAUCAAGAACGAAAGUUAGGGGAUCGAAGACGAUCAUAUACCGUCGUAGUCUUAACCAUAAACUAUGCCGACUAGGGAUCGGAUGAUGUUGAUUUUUUAAUGACUCAUUCGGCGCCUUACGGGAAAC
Molecule: ribosomal RNA, 548 nt
Filed under: uncultured Glomus
Lineage: Eukaryota; Fungi; Glomeromycota; Glomeromycetes; Glomerales; Glomeraceae
Description: SSU rRNA
Rfam family: Eukaryotic small subunit ribosomal RNA
Source: RNAcentral